AUGGAGAUGAAACCCAAAAGAUUUUCGUUGGGGCUUAACCCUCUCAGCGACGCGCCACAUCGGAACCCGGGUGUGGUGGAAAAUGGGCAAGGGCCGGGCCGUCACCCCCCAAGUGGCGCGCCGUAUCUUGAUCCGGAUACGGUGGCAAGUGAGCGAGGAUCGGGUCGUCGCAUCCUUAGUGGCGCGCUACAUCGGCGCCCGGAUGUAGUGGAAAAUGAGCAAGGGUCUUCGCAUUUGACUCGACGAGUGCGAAGGGUAAGGAAGCUAGCCGAGCCUAGGAGGAUUCGCUUAGGUAGCUGGAACGUAGGGUCUCUGACAGGGAAGCUUCGGGAGCUAGUUGAUGCAGCAGUGAGGAGAGGUGUUGAUAUCCUUUGCGUCCAAGAAACCAAAUGA
Molecule: ribosomal RNA, 393 nt
Filed under: Triticum aestivum (bread wheat)
Lineage: Eukaryota; Viridiplantae; Streptophyta; Magnoliopsida; Poales; Poaceae
Description: partial small subunit ribosomal RNA
Source: RNAcentral